AGUGGCCUCUCUGAGAAAACAAGCAAAUAAGUUAAAACUUUCAACAACGGAUCUCUUGGUUCUGGCAUCGAUGAAGAACGCAGCGAAAUGCGAUAAGUAAUGUGAAUUGCAGAAUUCAGUGAAUCAUCGAAUCUUUGAACGCACAUUGCGCCCGCUAGUACUCUAGCGGGCAUGCCUGUUCGAGCGUCAUUUCAACCCUCAAGCCCUGCUUGGUGUUGGGGUCCUACGGCUGCCGUAGGCCCUGAAAACUAGUGGCGGGCUCGCUAUAACUCCGAGCGUAGUAGUAACAUAUCUCGCUAGGGAGGUGUCGCGGGUUCCGGCCGUGAAAGCCCCAUCUUUUACACAAGGUUGACUCGGAUCAGGUAGGAAUACCC
RNAcentral lists this ribosomal RNA (374 nucleotides) under Ophiostomatales sp. C6. RNAcentral describes it as "eukaryotic LSU rRNA". The stretch from base 36 to 189 matches the Rfam family "5.8S ribosomal RNA". Lineage: Eukaryota; Fungi; Ascomycota; Sordariomycetes; Ophiostomatales. The record is from RNAcentral.